This is a non-coding RNA of Schistosoma curassoni, 46 nucleotides long. Lineage: Eukaryota; Metazoa; Platyhelminthes; Trematoda; Strigeidida; Schistosomatidae. The record is from Rfam.
UCACUGCUGAAGACUCCCACAAUAGGACGAAACGGCCGUCCAGUGC